UACAGAGGGUGCGAGCGUUGUUCGGAAUUAUUGGGCGUAAAGCGCUGGUAGGUGGUUUGUUAAGUCGCGUGUGAAAUCUCCAGGCUCAACCUGGAAAGUGCGCGCGAAACUGGCGAACUUGAGUGCCGGAGAGGGUCGCGGAAUUCCCGGUGUAGAGGUGAAAUGCGUAGAGAUCGGGAGGAACAUCUGUGGCGAAGGCGACUGCCUGGACCAGCACUGACACUGAGGCACGAGAGCGUGGGGAGCAAACAGG
RNAcentral lists this ribosomal RNA (253 nucleotides) under uncultured bacterium. Its description in RNAcentral is "partial 16S ribosomal RNA". It matches the Rfam family "Bacterial small subunit ribosomal RNA", at positions 524 to 776 of the family's 1533-position model. The record is from RNAcentral.